AGAUAAUGCCUACAGGCCUGAGAAUGGUCCAACUCCAAACCAAUCCAACCACACUGACACUGGAACCAACACGUUAGGUGCCCAUGCUCUGAAUUUCUUGGAAGAGACUGCCCCCUGAUGACGACUGGAUCGGUCACGCGCGGCUGUUGAGCCUAGACGUCGACGGCGACGAGUGCGGUUGCAGAUGCAGCACAAGGAUUUUGUACGCACCCGGCAGACGCAUCAGCAAUUCAGCAUCACUAGCUCUAGCUGCCCACGCCGCCGUUGCUUCCCACAGCAAGAGUCCAAUAUAACUGGCGCCCCUCCCUCCUCUCCCCAUUGUUUCCAUCCACCAUCUCCUCUGUCUGCGCCACCGGCAGCCGGGCAGUCCAACACCAACGNNNN
RNAcentral lists this long non-coding RNA (384 nucleotides) under Setaria italica (foxtail millet). Its description in RNAcentral is "long non-coding RNA (SITA_LNC003628)". The record is from RNAcentral. Lineage: Eukaryota; Viridiplantae; Streptophyta; Magnoliopsida; Poales; Poaceae.